Molecule: transfer RNA, 69 nt
Filed under: Urocitellus parryii (Arctic ground squirrel)
Lineage: Eukaryota; Metazoa; Chordata; Mammalia; Rodentia; Sciuridae
Also listed under: 2 other names
Description: Spermophilus parryii (Arctic ground squirrel) tRNA
Rfam family: tRNA
About the family: Transfer RNA (tRNA) molecules are approximately 80 nucleotides in length. Their secondary structure includes four short double-helical elements and three loops (D, anti-codon, and T loops).
Source: Rfam by way of RNAcentral
GGGGUUGUGGCUCAGUGGUAGAGCACUUGCCUCACACGUGGGGGGCACUAGGUUCAAUUCUCAGCACCA